UUUUUUCUUUCUGAUUCUUCCAGAAGAGGACUAAAUUGGUUGGUGGAUGAUAGUUGUCCUUUGUAUGGAGGCUGGAUGUAGAAGGUGCUGCAAGCUCUGCAAGCUGAUUAGUUAAUGUGGAAGCUGAAACCUGCCUUGGGAAGCUGACCAUUGACCAUUGUCUUGCUUUUACCUGGGUUGCUUCCUUGUUUCUCUUUAGGUUUUUAAGAAAGGAUAAAGGCUGAACAGAUCUCUGCAGUUACAAUUAUUCAUACUAGAAGAUACUGCUAACCUCUUUGUUAUUUGAGCAGCUGGAUGAGAUUCCUGAUUUCCAUAAUCUGUACCUGGAGGUUUAUACAGGAGAGGAUCACUGGGGCAGACUUGAACCAUGGUGCCCACAAGUGGGGAGGGUGCUCCAGCGGCCAUGGAAAGAACUUCCUUCUGCAGUUGGAGACAGCCUUCUGUGUGGGCUGAAGGACAGAGUGUGAUUUUCUACUUGGAAGAGACUCCAGGGCUCUGCAGAGAGGGAAGCCCUGCUGACCCAUUUCAGCAGACUGUGACACUUCAGCGACCUGCAAAUUCUACACAUUAGAGUUCAUAUUUUAUACAAACUCCGUACACCUAAGAUGUGGACUUAACAUUUCUACCAACAACAUCCAACUUCCAACAAAAGAUGCAGGCCCAUCAGAAGAUGAAAGCUACUAAUGAAGAUGCAUUAAAGAUGAUAUUUAUGGCCACCCCUUAGGGAAAAAAAGAUUCAUAAAUAAUUUCAUGGAAAUUACACCCAAAAUAGAGUCAUAAUUUCCUCAA
RNAcentral lists this long non-coding RNA (789 nucleotides) under Homo sapiens (human). RNAcentral's name for it is "non-protein coding LINC01914:19". The record is from RNAcentral. Lineage: Eukaryota; Metazoa; Chordata; Mammalia; Primates; Hominidae.